This 606-nucleotide long non-coding RNA is filed under the name Mustela putorius furo (domestic ferret). RNAcentral's name for it is "lncRNA (ENSMPUG00000024020.1)". Lineage: Eukaryota; Metazoa; Chordata; Mammalia; Carnivora; Mustelidae. The record is from RNAcentral.
AUGUCAUCUUCACUUAUGAAGAAAAUUUCUGCUUUACUCAAAAAAGGACAUACAGACCAUAUAAACCCAUGCCCUCGGUACAAUUCCAAGACAUUAAUAAUUCAAAAUCUUGUGGGAAUUUUGUCAUGGUGGAGAUACGACUUGUCUGCAAACAGAGCUCGGGGGAAGCUCAGUAUGAUCUAUUCUUCUAUAUAUGCACAACUGCUGCAUUCAUCACGACACAGAGAAGAACACAGGAUUCUCCAGCAUCUCUACAAUGGAAAUUUUGGAAUAUAUAUCAUAAAGUUUGUUAUGUAUAACAUAAUUAAUUCCCAAUCUCACGUGAAGAGUAAUAAUCACGAUAGGUCAUUAUACCUUAUAGAUUAAAAGGAUUGGUAAAUACAUUUUCUCUCCCUCAUCUCUUAAACAUAUAGGCCAUUAUUCAAAAACUAUUGAGAUGAGUGGUCAGAUGGAAAAAAUAUGAGAGAAAAACAUGUUGGGCUCCCUGCCUAUUGGAAGACAGAAUGUGCGUGUGUGUGUGUGUGUGUGUACACAAAAAUACAUGUGUACAUAUUUAUAUGUGUAUACAUAUUUGUAUACAUACACAUACACAUAGGUAGUAUGUUU